ACAGCUCAUAGCCAGACAGCACCUGCUAUGAGCCUGACGCUGUGCUUACUGCUUCUCUCACUCAGGCCUUUUUGGUGGAGGCGCUCUUAUUAUGCCCAUUUUACAGGGGAAGAAACUGAAGCCCCAAGGGCUGGCUGACUUGCUCAAGGUCACAGAGGAAGUAAAUGGUGGAGCCUGGAUUCGGACCCCACAGACUGGCUUCCGUGACGUGGCUUAAUAGCCACAGCUUUGCCCACCUCUGUGCUGGGUGCCGGGGUGCAGCGAUGAGAUCGACUGGAGGGGUUCCUGUUCCGGAGGCUCAGAAGCAGGUGGAAGGGAGUCAUAAAGAAAAACAAAGUGAAUCAGAACAGAAACAAUAUGUGGCCCACAAAGCCUAAAAUAUUUACUACCUGGACCUUGAAGGAAAAAGUUUGUUGAUACCUGCUAUAAGCCAUCAAAAUGUCAAGGAUUUUUGUUACACAACAUUAUUGCACAAAUAGAGAUCAUCAAACCAAAACUCUCAAAAGCGGAAUGUCUCACCAGGACUUUCUAAGGUCUUAUUGUUUUGCCUUCACCACAAAGGAACCCUCUCCAAGAACGUGAACUCCAGACCCGCAAGAAUCUGGUCACUUUGAUAUUUCUGGGGCCCAGAACAGUGGCCACCACAGGGUAGGCGCUGAG
RNAcentral lists this long non-coding RNA (660 nucleotides) under Equus caballus (horse). RNAcentral's name for it is "lncRNA (ENSECAG00000059329.1)". Lineage: Eukaryota; Metazoa; Chordata; Mammalia; Perissodactyla; Equidae. The record is from RNAcentral.